Molecule: ribosomal RNA, 599 nt
Filed under: Philaccolilus mekus
Lineage: Eukaryota; Metazoa; Arthropoda; Insecta; Coleoptera; Dytiscidae
Description: SSU rRNA
Rfam family: Eukaryotic small subunit ribosomal RNA
Source: RNAcentral
UUGUCUCAAAGAUUAAGCCAUGCAUGUCUCAGUACAAGCCGAUUUAAGGUGAAACCGCGAAAGGCUCAUUAAAUCAGUUAUGGUUCCUUAGAUCGUACCCACACUUACUUGGAUAACUGUGGUAAUUCUAGAGCUAAUACAUGCCGACAGAAUCCCGACCGGAGACGGAAGGGAUGCUUUUAUUAGAUCAAAACCAAUCGGCCGCGGGCGCGCUCGCGCGUCCGCCGGCCGCUCCGACUGGUGACUCUGAAUAACUUUCCGCCGAUCGCACGGUCCAGCACCGGCGACGCAUCUUUCAAAUGUCUGCCUUAUCAACUGUCGAUGGUAGGUUCUGCGCCUACCAUGGUCGUAACGGGUAACGGGGAAUCAGGGUUCGAUUCCGGAGAGGGAGCCUGAGAAACGGCUACCACAUCCAAGGAAGGCAGCAGGCGCGCAAAUUACCCACUCCCGGCACGGGGAGGUAGUGACGAAAAAUAACGAUACGGGACUCAUCCGAGGCCCCGUAAUCGGAAUGAGUACACUUUAAAUCCUUUAACAAGGACCAAUUGGAGGGUAAGUCUGGUGCCAGCAGCCGCGGUAAUUCCAGCUCCAAUAGCGUA